UACGGAGGGGGCUAGCGUUGUUCGGAAUUACUGGGCGUAAAGCGCACGUAGGCGGCUUUGCAAGUUAGAGGUGAAAGCCCGGGGCUCAACACCGGAAUUGCCUUUAAAACUGCAUCGCUAGAAUUGUGGAGAGGUAAGUGGAAUUCCGAGUGUAGAGGUGAAAUUCGUAGAUAUUCGGAAGAACACCAGUGGCGAAGGCGACUUACUGGACACAUAUUGACGCUGAGGUGCGAAAGCGUGGGGAGCAAACAGG
Molecule: ribosomal RNA, 253 nt
Filed under: uncultured bacterium
Lineage: Bacteria
Description: partial 16S ribosomal RNA
Rfam family: Bacterial small subunit ribosomal RNA
Source: RNAcentral